CAACUGUGGUAAAUGAUCGCGGCUUGCCGGAGUAUUCCGGCAAGGUGAGGAAAGUCCGGGCUUCGCAGGGCAGGAUGCCGGAUAACGUCCGGUGGAGGUGACUCCAAGGAUAGUGCAACAGAAAUAUACCGCCUCUGUCCGAAAGGGCGGAGGUAAGGGUGGAAGGGUGGUGUAAGGGACCACCGCCUCCGCGGUAACGCGGAGGGCAUAUGUAAACCCCAUCCGAAGCAAGACCAAACAGGGAACCAUAGACUUGCCCGGUCUGUUCCCAGGUAGGUCGCUUGAGGCUGACGGCGACGUCAGUCCUAGAUAGAUGAUCAUUCGUGCCGCUGUGAGAGCAGCGGCGCUGACAUAACCCGGCUUAUCGCCGCGGUUGCCGA
RNAcentral lists this RNase P RNA (380 nucleotides) under Lachnospiraceae bacterium. Its description in RNAcentral is "RNase P RNA component class A". It matches the Rfam family "Bacterial RNase P class A". From Rfam's summary of the family: Ribonuclease P (RNase P) is a ubiquitous endoribonuclease, found in archaea, bacteria and eukarya as well as chloroplasts and mitochondria. Its best characterised activity is the generation of mature 5'-ends of tRNAs by cleaving the 5'-leader elements of precursor-tRNAs. Lineage: Bacteria; Bacillati; Bacillota; Clostridia; Lachnospirales; Lachnospiraceae. The record is from RNAcentral.